Molecule: non-coding RNA, 102 nt
Organism: Pteropus alecto (black flying fox)
Lineage: Eukaryota; Metazoa; Chordata; Mammalia; Chiroptera; Pteropodidae
Source: Rfam
GCGCUCACUUCUGCAGCACAUGAUCUAAAACUGGAACAGGAGAGACCGGCACGGCCCCUGAGCACGGAUGACACGCAAAUUCGCGAAGCAGUCCAUAUUUUU